GGGGUACCGCCUGAAGGCAGCCAGGAGCAUUCCCGCCGGGUCUGCAGAACCGAAAAGGAUGUAACGGUAGCCCGGACAGGAAAUGUUCUGACUACACACAGGCCGGGAGGCACAAACUAGCAAAGUAGUGAACGACUUAGACUUAGAGAGCAUCCAAACGUAUUUACAAAAGGGAAAACUGAGGCCCAGCGUCCCUGCGUGAGCUAAGAGGAGGCGACAGAUGCAGCACUCGAUCGCCUCUGGUCCAGCCGAGACGACGGAGACGACGGUCGCCAGGCCUGGGGAGUGGGGCUCCGGUGACCAGACGGCCACAGGAUGUCCGGGGACCGGCCCGCCCCUUCAGACCCGCGAUGGGACCUCCUCCCUCUCCUUCCCAGUGUGUCUUUUCCUAAACAAGAAAUGGGGUCUGCUCACCCAGUGCCACAGCGACGAGCAGGAGCAGAGGCUUCAUGGUGCUACGAUCUCUCCUACCAAGUCUCUUCUUCCCCUUUCACUUUCAUUUUCCUUCUAAGGCUGGGGUGAGGAACUGGAAAUUCCCCGAUCUGGUCAGGUGAGGGCGUGACUG
Molecule: long non-coding RNA, 565 nt
Filed under: Mus caroli (Ryukyu mouse)
Lineage: Eukaryota; Metazoa; Chordata; Mammalia; Rodentia; Muridae
Description: lncRNA (MGP_CAROLIEiJ_G0003014.1)
Source: RNAcentral